This 443-nucleotide ribosomal RNA is filed under the name uncultured bacterium. Its description in RNAcentral is "partial 16S ribosomal RNA". It matches the Rfam family "Bacterial small subunit ribosomal RNA", at positions 338 to 795 of the family's 1533-position model. The record is from RNAcentral.
CCUACGGGCGGCUGCAGUGGGGAAUAUUGGGCAAUGGGCGCAAGCCUGACCCAGCAACGCCGCGUGAAGGAAGAAGGCUUUCGGGUUGUAAACUUCUUUUCUCAGGGACGAAGCAAGUGACGGUACCUGAGGAAUAAGCCACGGCUAACUACGUGCCAGCAGCCGCGGUAAUACGUAGGUGGCAAGCGUUAUCCGGAUUUACUGGGUGUAAAGGGCGUGUAGGCGGGAAAGCAAGUCAGAUGUGAAAACCAUGGGCUCAACCUGUGGCCUGCAUUUGAAACUGUUUUUCUUGAGUACUGGAGAGGCAGACGGAAUUCCUAGUGUAGCGGUGAAAUGCGUAGAUAUUAGGAGGAACACCAGUGGCGAAGGCAGCUUACUAAACUAUAACUGACACUGAAGCACGAAAGCGUGGGGAUCAAACAGGAUUAGAUACCCCGGUAGUC